RNAcentral lists this ribosomal RNA (878 nucleotides) under Sordariales sp. UFGD_Bt03. Its description in RNAcentral is "eukaryotic LSU rRNA". The stretch from base 482 to 635 matches the Rfam family "5.8S ribosomal RNA". The record is from RNAcentral. Lineage: Eukaryota; Fungi; Ascomycota; Sordariomycetes; Sordariales.
ACCCCACCCCCGCGGGCGGCCCGGCCCCGAAAANAGACCCGNNGNNCNNNCNCCGCCGCCCACAAACNCCCCCCGCGCCGGCCGACCCCCGGGAGGGGCGCAGAACCAGCCGGCCAAACAAACCCGCCCCCGACCGCCCGCCCCCGGNGAGGGCUCCAGACCNCCAGCCCAAAAGGGGGAAAAACCAUUUNCCCCCCCCCCCCCCGCCCCAGGGGGGGGGGGGGCGNCCCNNNNACNCCGGGGGGGGGGCCCCCCGCGGGGGAGGUCAAAAAAAANNNNNUUUCCUCUUGGGGAACCCCGGGAGGGAACAUUAAAGAAGUUCCCAAAAUCCCCCAACAAUUUUGGACCUUACCCUCCAACAGUGGUUGGGGGGGGGGGGGAAAGAGGCCCCCCGGGGCCCCCAAAGGGGGCGCCCCCCCGAGGAUAACCAAACUCCUGAUACUUUAUGGCCUCUCUGAGUCUUCUGUACUGAAUAAAUCAAAACUUUCAACAACGGAUCUCUUGGGUCUGGCAUCGAUGAAGAACGCAGCGAAAUGCCAUAAGUAAUGUGAAUUGCAGAAAUCAGUGAAUCAUCGAAUCUUUGAACGCACAUUGCGCCCCCCAGUAUUCUGGCGGGCAUGCCUGUUCGAGCGUCAUUUCAACCAUCAAGCCCCCGGGCUUGUGUUUGGGGACCUCCGGCUGCCCGCAGCCCCUGAAAAACAGUGGCGGGCUCGCUGUCACACCGAGCGCAGUACCAUCAUCUAGCUCAGGGCCGUGCUGCGGGUUCCGGCCGUAAAAAGCUUCAAUUAACCAGGUUGACCUCGGAUCAGGUAGGAGACCCGUUAAAUUUAGCAUAUAUUAGCGGGGAAAACUUAUNUUUUCCUUUCGNCUCUNUNUUU